Molecule: long non-coding RNA, 812 nt
Filed under: Ananas comosus (pineapple)
Lineage: Eukaryota; Viridiplantae; Streptophyta; Magnoliopsida; Poales; Bromeliaceae
Description: long non-coding RNA (ACOM_LNC043606)
Source: RNAcentral
GGCCGGCCCGAGCACGUCAAACAGACGACGAACGGACAGAGUUUUUCCUAUCCGCCCAAGGCUCAUCACAUGUACAUUUUCAAUAAAAAGUGCACUAGCGGAAACAUACAAAAACGGCUUACACGAGGGUAAGCAAUAUCCAUUAGUGAAAGAAGGGAAAACUAAACAUCUACACAAGUAAUAUGAUUCAUUUUAGAUCAUAUACAUUGCAUUCAUUUCUUACAUUUUGAAUUCUUUGCAUUUCACUACAUCAUUUCAUCAUUUCUUUCUUACAUCACAUUUACCUCAAAAUAAGCUUUACAUUCUUUUCUUUACAUCACUAGUCAUCAAAUACAAAAGAUGAACAUAGGGUAGCUACUAACAAAAUGUAAACCCAACUCAACUCUGGUGGCCUCUGUCUAAGGCGCGAUACCUUUACCUCGGUCACUCGUCGGCUCGCUCGGUCCCGGCUCUGUGGAAAUAGUGGGGUAAGAACUACAACAAAAUUUUUAGUGGGUUCGGCCCCAACAUCACCGACUUUCCCACUAGGACUAACUCAGGCAUAAUAGAAAGGAUAAGCAAGAUAUAGUAACCAAUCUAUAACAUGGUGCUAAUAUGCCUGAACAAAUAGCAAAAGUAUGCUUAACAUUAAAUAUAUACAGAUUACGCAAAAUUCUUUCGUUCUUUACCUUUACACUUUGUUCUUUGUUCUUUAUUCUUUGCUCUUUAUUCUUUAUUCUUUAAUCUCAAGGCUAACCCGGAGGUUUCGCCACAUUAACUUGCUUCACAUUAAGUCCAUCAUCGCAGGAACUCACCAGCUAGGACCGUCCUUC